RNAcentral lists this transfer RNA (76 nucleotides) under Pseudorhodobacter sp. RNAcentral's name for it is "tRNA-Thr". It matches the Rfam family "tRNA". Rfam says of the family: Transfer RNA (tRNA) molecules are approximately 80 nucleotides in length. RNAcentral also lists the same sequence under 1 other name. The record is from RNAcentral. Lineage: Bacteria; Pseudomonadati; Pseudomonadota; Alphaproteobacteria; Rhodobacterales; Paracoccaceae.
GCCCCUAUAGCUCAGCUGGUAGAGCAUCUGAUUUGUAAUCAGAGGGUCUGCGGUUCGAUCCCGUAUGGGGGCACCA